Molecule: ribosomal RNA, 500 nt
Filed under: uncultured Glomeromycotina
Lineage: Eukaryota; Fungi; Glomeromycota
Description: partial small subunit ribosomal RNA
Rfam family: Eukaryotic small subunit ribosomal RNA
Source: RNAcentral
CCAAUAGCGUAUAUUAAAGUUGUUGCAGUUAAAAAGCUCGUAGUUGAAUUUCGGGGUUAGUAGGUUGGUCAUGCCUCUGGUAUGUACUGGUCUCACUGAUUCCUCCUUCCUGAUGAACCGUAAUGCCAUUAAUUUGGUGUUGCGGGGAAUUUGGACUGUUACUUUGAAAAAAUUAGAGUGUUUAAAGCAAGCUAACGCUUGAAUACAUUAGCAUGGAAUAAUGAAAUAGGACGUUCGAUCCUAUUUUGUUGGUUUCUAGGAUUGACGUAAUGAUUAAUAGGGAUAGUUGGGGGCAUUAGUAUUCAAUUGUCAGAGGUGAAAUUCUUGGAUUUAUUGAAGACUAACUACUGCGAAAGCAUUUGCCAAGGAUGUUUUCAUUAAUCAAGAACGAAAGUUAGGGGAUCGAAGACGAUCAGAUACCGUCGUAGUCUUAACCAUAAACUAUGCCGACUAGGGAUCGGAUGAUGUUAAUUUUAUAAUGACUCAUUCGGCACCUUACG